Molecule: long non-coding RNA, 1161 nt
Organism: Oncorhynchus tshawytscha (Chinook salmon)
Lineage: Eukaryota; Metazoa; Chordata; Actinopteri; Salmoniformes; Salmonidae
Exons: 2
Source: RefSeq, a predicted model, not a curated record
GGUGUUUGCUCUGACAUGCACUGUCAACUGUGGGACCUUACAUAGACAGGCAUCCUCACACACAAACACUCACAGGCCAGCACAAAGGUUUGGUGGUAACAAGCAGAUAAAAGGCCCAUAAUGACAUGGCACCAGGUUAGAACAAACGUCAUGAACCGGUGGCUUCCAUCAUGUCUUCUGCCUCAGCGAACAACACAAGAGGCCAUGUCUCGUGCGGACCAUGUGACCGGAAUUGUAUUGAUCACUCAAUUUGUGGCCCUGGCUAUCCUGGGGCCGUCUGGUGUUAUCCCUGGAGGGCUGGCCCAGGAGGGGCUGGCCCAGGGCUCUGUCUGCUCCCCUGACAGGGCCAGCUCUGGGGGUGAAGAAUGGGGGAGGCGGGUGGUGUGACUAAGCAGAGUCUUGUUAGAGUGGGGCGGUGCGGACGGGAGGGGCGCAUCGCCAAGCCCUGUCCAAAAACAGGCUGCUGCUCGCUUUUUUACAUCCCACCAACUGUUCACAUUUCAACGCUCUGACCCUUUUUUCAUUUCUAUACAAUACAUCGUUAACAAAACAGUUUACAAACCACGGGUGAUACAUUAUCCACUCUGACUUCCCAGAUUUACUCAGACUAAUGGAUUAACCACUGAGCUGUGUAGAGUCCACACAUGACUAAUGCUCAAUAUCUCCUUUGUGUGGUAUUUGAAAACAAAUGCAAACUUACAGGUCGUAUCUGUAAUACUUGUGUGUAUAUUAUAAAUUAAGAGUUUUUUCCAAAAGUCUAUAUCCACCAAUUUUUCACAUUUGUUUUUUUAAUAAAAAAUGAUUGCUUUUGGGUACCUUCAUGUGUGUGUAAAAUAUUACUUUUCUCAGAUUUUGUAUUCAUAGAUUUGAGAUGUGUAUGAGUUUUUACUUAAUUUUUUGCAUAAUGCUACAUGUCCAUUGUUUAGAUGGAAUGGAAUGUUUGUAUCCUGUAUAUUUGAAUGUGAUAUGUGGUUGUCUUAAGGUGAAUGCACAAACUGUAAGUCACUCUGGAUAAGAGCAUCUGCUAAAUUACUCAAAUGUAAAAUGUAACUGUUUAACAUACAGAUCUCAUAUUACUGUAUAGAAUACCUUUUUUGUACACGUUGAUGUCACAAAUGUAUAAUUUGUACAGUUCUUUAUUAAAAAUGUAGUUAUUUGUUA